GUACUCCCCGAAAUAUAUUGAGGUAUAGCCUCAGGGGAUGAGUGCUGGAGGUAGAGCACUGGAAGGGUUAGGGCCGUCACCACGGUACCGUCCCCUACCAAACUCCGAAUGCCAGUUACUUUACCCUGGGAGUCAGCCUACGUGGGAUAAGCUGUGUGGACGAGAGGGGAAGAACCCAGACCGCCAAUUAAGGCCCCCAAGUGAUACCUAAGUGAUUAAAGAGGUGGGUCCGCAAAAACAACCAGGAUGUUGGCUUAGAGGCAGCCACCAUUUAAAGAGUGCGUAAUAGCUCACUGGUCGAGUAGAUCUGCGCUGAAAAUCCACGGGACUCAAGGUAUCCGCCGAAAUUGCGGAAUCGUUUUACGAUUGGUAGGGGAGCAUUCCAGUUGCCGACGAAGCGGAAAUGUGAAUUUCCGUGGAGGUCCUGGAAGAGAUUAUGCCAGAAUGAGUAGUGAGAAAACAGGUGAGAAACCUGUUCACCGUAAGCCCAAGGGUUCCUGGGUAAAGUUAAUCUUCCCAGGGUUAGCCGGUCCCUAAGACGAAGCCGAACGGCGUAGUCGAUGGAAACCAUGUCAAUAUUCAUGGGCCGCCA
This 592-nucleotide ribosomal RNA is filed under the name Phycisphaerales bacterium. RNAcentral describes it as "partial 23S ribosomal RNA". It matches the Rfam family "Bacterial large subunit ribosomal RNA", at positions 852 to 1449 of the family's 2925-position model. Lineage: Bacteria; Pseudomonadati; Planctomycetota; Phycisphaerae; Phycisphaerales. The record is from RNAcentral.